This 254-nucleotide ribosomal RNA is filed under the name uncultured bacterium. Its description in RNAcentral is "partial 16S ribosomal RNA". It matches the Rfam family "Bacterial small subunit ribosomal RNA", at positions 524 to 776 of the family's 1533-position model. The record is from RNAcentral.
UACGUAGGUGGCAAGCGUUGUCCGGAAUUAUUGGGCGUAAAGCGCGCGCAGGCGGUCCCUUAAGUCUGAUGUGAAAGCCCACGGCUCAACCGUGGAGGGUCAUUGGAAACUGGGGGGACUUGAGUACAGAAGAGGAAAGCGGAAUUCCACGUGUAGCGGUGAAAUGCGUAGAGAUGUGGAGGAACACCAGUGGCGAAGGCGGCUUUCUGGUCUGUAACUGACGCUGAGGCGCGAAAGCGUGGGGAGCAAACAGG